AUAAAUCGAAGAGGCGCAACCAACACAAGUAAACUGAUGGAGCUUGGCCAGGCCGGGAAGUCAGCGGAACAGGGCGGUUGCCGAAGCGUCUAGUUUGGCCCGACUAGGUAGCUGGGGCGUGGGUGAAUAACUCACGGACUGUCGCAGGACAAUAACAGCCUGCGGUGCGCUAUCGACAAA
RNAcentral lists this non-coding RNA (180 nucleotides) under Limosilactobacillus frumenti. RNAcentral's name for it is "Lactobacillus frumenti Lysine sequence". It matches the Rfam family "Lysine riboswitch aptamer". From Rfam's summary of the family: Riboswitches are metabolite binding domains within certain messenger RNAs that serve as precision sensors for their corresponding targets. Lineage: Bacteria; Bacillati; Bacillota; Bacilli; Lactobacillales; Lactobacillaceae. The record is from RNAcentral. RNAcentral also lists the same sequence under 1 other name.